Molecule: ribosomal RNA, 434 nt
Filed under: Pteridomonas danica
Lineage: Eukaryota; Dictyochophyceae; Pedinellales
Description: partial Bacterial large subunit ribosomal RNA
Rfam family: Bacterial large subunit ribosomal RNA
Source: RNAcentral
UGAGUUAGAUGGAUCAGACCCGAAACCGAGUGAUCUAGGCAUGACCAGGAUGAAGGUAAGGUAACACUUACUGGAGGUCCGAACCCACACCUGUUGAAAAAGGUCGGGAUGAGUUGUGCCUAGGGGUGAAAGGCCAAUCAAACUCGGAGAUAGCUGGUUCUCCGCGAAAUCUAUUUAGGUAGAGCGUCAUCCGAAUACCCUCGGGGGUAGAGCACUGGAUGGGUAAUGGGGCCCCACAGGCUUACUGAUCCUAACCAAACUCCGAAUACCGAGGAGUACUAGAUGGCAGACACACAGCGGAUGCUAACGUCCGUUGUGAAGAGGGAAACAACCCUGACCUACAGCUAAGGCCCCUAAUUCAUGGCUAAGUGGGAAAGCAGGUGAGACGACCAAAACAACCAGGAGGUUGGCUUAGAAGCAGCCAUCCUUUAAAG